Megalobrama amblycephala (Wuchang bream) is the source of this 192-nucleotide long non-coding RNA. RefSeq lists it as uncharacterized. Lineage: Eukaryota; Metazoa; Chordata; Actinopteri; Cypriniformes; Xenocyprididae. The transcript has 2 exons. The record is from RefSeq and is a predicted model, not a curated record.
GUGUACCUUAAUUUGUUUUCCUGGGUCCCAACAUCAACCUAAUACAGGGACGUUGUCUCUCCACUGCUGUGACACUGAUCUCUGCAAUGCAGCAGAUGGAGUGUAUAAGGGAAGCUUCCUCCUGCUCUUCUCUCCUCUGCUCUUCUACUUCCUGUUUCAGUGAGUCCAGAUUCAAGACUUCAGAUUCUACAG